UGCUAACAUUUUUGUUUGCUUUGUAGCUCAUAUUUUUAUUCGUGAUAAAACUAAAAAAAGUGUGCUGAACUGCAACAAUCUAGUCGCUGAAGAUUUGAUGAGUUUAUCAUGUGUACCAACGAAGAUCUGCGAAAUGAAAAAUUUCAGCCGUCAUCGCCGGUUCGGCGGGAUGUCCCACUAGACUUAUCGUUACAACGUCCAGGUUCACUGAGUCAUCCAAUUAACACUUCGGUACAUCGCCUGGGACUGAGUUAGAUAAACCGAAAUUGUCUUCGAUUACUCAUGAAGCAUCGAGUACGCUGGAUAUCGUUUUUAAUGAGCAAAU
Molecule: long non-coding RNA, 325 nt
Organism: Wyeomyia smithii (pitcher-plant mosquito)
Lineage: Eukaryota; Metazoa; Arthropoda; Insecta; Diptera; Culicidae
Exons: 3
Source: RefSeq, a predicted model, not a curated record